GACGAACGCUGGCGGCGUGCCUAAUACAUGCAAGUAGAACGCUGAAGGAGGAGCUUGCUUCUCUGGAUGAGUUGCGAACGGGUGAGUAACGCGUAGGUAACCUGCCUGGUAGCGGGGGAUAACUAUUGGAAACGAUAGCUAAUACCGCAUAACAGUAGAUAUCGCAUGAUAUCUACUUGAAAGGUGCAAUUGCAUCACUACCAGAUGGACCUGCGUUGUAUUAGCUAGUUGGUGAGGUAACGGCUCACCAAGGCGACGAUGCAUAGCCGACCUGCGAGGGGGAUCGGCCACACUGGGAGUGAGACACGGCCCAGACGCCUACGGGAGGCAGCAGUAGGGAAUCUUCGGCAAGGGACGGAAGUCUGACCGAGAAACGCCGCGGGAGGGAAGAAGGUUGUCGGAUCGUAAAGCUCGGUUGUAAGAGAAGAACGAGUGUGAGAGUGGAAAGUUCACACUGUGACGGUAUCUUACCAGAAAGGGACGGCUAACUACGUG
This 495-nucleotide ribosomal RNA is filed under the name uncultured bacterium. Its description in RNAcentral is "partial 16S ribosomal RNA". It matches the Rfam family "Bacterial small subunit ribosomal RNA", at positions 28 to 507 of the family's 1533-position model. The record is from RNAcentral.